This 465-nucleotide ribosomal RNA is filed under the name Vreelandella stevensii. RNAcentral describes it as "partial 16S ribosomal RNA". It matches the Rfam family "Bacterial small subunit ribosomal RNA", at positions 338 to 795 of the family's 1533-position model. Lineage: Bacteria; Pseudomonadati; Pseudomonadota; Gammaproteobacteria; Oceanospirillales; Halomonadaceae. The record is from RNAcentral.
CCUACGGGUGGCAGCAGUGGGGAAUAUUGGACAAUGGGCGAAAGCCUGAUCCAGCCAUGCCGCGUGUGUGAAGAAGGCCUUCGGGUUGUAAAGCACUUUCAGUGGGGAAGAAAGCCUUGGGGCUAAUACCCUCGAGGAAGGACAUCACCCACAGAAGAAGCACCGGCUAACUCCGUGCCAGCAGCCGCGGUAAUACGGAGGGUGCGAGCGUUAAUCGGAAUUACUGGGCGUAAAGCGCGCGUAGGCGGUCUGAUAAGCCGGUUGUGAAAGCCCCGGGCUCAACCUGGGAACGGCAUCCGGGACUGUCAGGCUAGAGUGCAGGAGAGGAAGGUAGAAUUCCCGGUGUAGCGGUGAAAUGCGUAGAGAUCGGGAGGAAUACCAGUGGCGAAGGCGGCCUUCUGGACUGACACUGACGCUGAGGUGCGAAAGCGUGGGUAGCAAACAGGAUUAGAUACCCGGGUAGUC